RNAcentral lists this ribosomal RNA (502 nucleotides) under uncultured bacterium. RNAcentral describes it as "partial 16S ribosomal RNA". It matches the Rfam family "Bacterial small subunit ribosomal RNA", at positions 28 to 523 of the family's 1533-position model. The record is from RNAcentral.
GAUGAACGCUAGCGGCAGGCCUAACACAUGCAAGUCGAGGGGCAGCACAGAAACAGCAAUGUUUUGGUGGCGACCGGCGGACGGGUGCGUAACGCGUAUGCAACCUACCUUUAACAGGGGGAUAACGGAGAGAAAUUUCCACUAAUACCCCAUAACAUCGAUCAAGGCAUCUUGAUUGGUUGAAAACUCCGGUGGUUAAAGAUGGGCAUGCGUUGAAUUAGGUAGUUGGUGGGGUAAUGGCUCACCAAGCCUACGAUACAUAGGGGGACUGAGAGGUUAGCCCACCACACUGGUACUGAGACACGGACCAGACUCCUACGGGAGGCAGCAGUGAGGAAUAUUGGUCAAUGGGGGCAACCCUGAACCAGCCAUGCCGCGUGCAGGAAGACGGCUCUAUGAGUUGUAAACUGCUCUUAAACAGGGAUAAAGCACAGUAUGUAUACUGUGUUGAAGGUACUGUAAGAAUAAGGAUCGGCUAACUCCGUGCCAGCAGCCGCCGUAA